This 390-nucleotide unclassified non-coding RNA is filed under the name Hevea brasiliensis (rubber tree). The record is from RNAcentral. Lineage: Eukaryota; Viridiplantae; Streptophyta; Magnoliopsida; Malpighiales; Euphorbiaceae.
UUUUUUUUUUUUUUUUUAUAACUUGGAAGAAAACAUAUGGGCUAUGGUGAAAAAUACGUCUGUUUUCUCUCCAUUUUCUAUUGAUUCAAUUUAAAAUCCAAUUCCUUCCAGAAGUUCUUAGUUUCAGACCCAUGUUAUUGGAAUGUGUGUAAGUUCAUUCUGCAUGGAACUUAUAUAGCAUAACAAUGUCUUUGAAAAAAAAAAUAUUUGCAUAUAUUAGAACUACUGUACAAAAUUUCAUAUAAACCAGCGAAAGGCGCAUGGGGCUCCAAGUGUAGCGCCUUAUCCAGGGAAAAGCGAGGGACCUCACCCGGGCGCAGCUAGGCGUUGCGAGGCGCCAGGCGCGCCUAGGCGUGCCGGAGAGAGGUCAGGUAAAGCUUUUAAAAAUUG